Molecule: ribosomal RNA, 120 nt
Filed under: uncultured bacterium
Lineage: Bacteria
Description: partial 16S ribosomal RNA
Rfam family: Bacterial small subunit ribosomal RNA
Source: RNAcentral
AAUGAACGCUGGCGGCGUGCUUUACACAUGCAAGUUGAGCGAGGCCACCCGCAAGGGUGAGUCGAGCGGCGAACGGGUGAGUAACGCGUGGAUGACCUGCCCUUUAGUGGGGAAUAACCC